This 447-nucleotide ribosomal RNA is filed under the name uncultured bacterium. RNAcentral's name for it is "bacterial SSU rRNA". It matches the Rfam family "Bacterial small subunit ribosomal RNA", at positions 355 to 825 of the family's 1533-position model. The record is from RNAcentral.
UGGGGAAUCUUGGACAAUGGGCGCAAGCCUGAUCCAGCCAUGCCGCGUGAGUGACGAAGGUCUUCGGAUUGUAAAGCUCUUUUGCCAGGGACGAUAAUGACGGUACCUGGAGAAUAAGCCCCGGCUAACUUCGUGCCAGCAGCCGCGGUAAUACGAAGGGGGCUAGCGUUGUUCGGAAUUACUGGGCGUAAAGCGCACGUAGGCGGAUUAGUAAGUCAGGGGUGAAAUCCCGGGGCUCAACCUCGGAACUGCCUUUGAUACUGCUAAUCUCGAGUCCGAUAGAGGUGAGUGGAAUUCCUAGUGUAGAGGUGAAAUUCGUAGAUAUUAGGAAGAACACCAGUGGCGAAGGCGGCUCACUGGAUCGGUACUGACGCUGAGGUGCGAAAGCAUGGGGAGCAAAAGGGAUUAGAUACCCCCGUAGUCCCUGAGCGGGCUGGCAAGGCGCAU